GGGUCAACGGUCCAGGUAGGGCCAGCACCACCACUGUGGAGACAGACAGAAAAAAGAAUGCAAACCAAGCCCUAUCUGAUGUUCAAGAUGAACCUGGAGUUCAAGAUGCCCUCCUUUGCAGGAGCUCAGUCACACAGCCUACUCUCUGUAACUUUUCAAGUCUAAAAUAAACUAAAAAUCACUCAGGAAGCAGGCACCAACUGCUGGCUAGGGAAGACAGGAGUGAGUGUGUGUGUGUGUGUGUGUAUGUGUGUGUGUGUGUGUGUGUGUGCUCACUCCAUCAGCACUGAAUUCUAAAGGCCCUGAAAAUGAGACAAUGAUUUAUUUCUUACAAAGGGAGAGAGUGAAGACCCCCAAGAUAGACAAGUUUACUUUACACAGCCAUACCACCAAAAGGGACAGUGUCAGACAGUUGAUUCCAAUCCUGUCACCACCACCUUCUUGCUGUGUAAUCUUAUGUACAUAACUUAAACUUUUGAUUUCGUAAAACAACAACAAUAAUAAUUUUGGGUUUUGUUUUGUUUUUGAGAAAAAUUAUUAUUUUUAUUUAUUUAUCCAUCCAACACAGGGUUUCUCUGUGUAGCCCUGGCUAUCCUGGAACUCAGUAUGUAGACCAGGCUGGUCUCAAACUCCCAGAGAUCUGCCUGCCUCUGCCUCCUGAGUGCUGGGAAUAAAGGUGUGUGCCACCAUCUCUGGCUGAGAGAAAUUCUUGCUGUGUAUCCCAGGCUGGCCUUGCACUUGUAGUUCUCCUGCCUCAGCCUCUCUGGUGCUGGGAUUACAGGAAUACCCCAUAUUCAGUAUAAAAACAAUCUUUCUAAGGUAGAGGAGUGUGUAACCUGCCAUUUGGAAGGCUGAGGUAUCAGGAUUGAGAAAGAAAGGAAAAGGAAGGGAAGAAAGAAAAGAAGUGACUUUGUUUAUUUAAAUGGUCAACCUGACAACAUACAUAAAGAUAUGUUAUACAGAUUGAGCAGGUUAUAUUUAGGAAUGUAUAAGUAUAUGCAAGUAUGUAUGUAGUAAAAAUUAAUGGGAAAAGGCCAUGAAUUUAAAAGAGAUCAAGGAGAAGUUUAUGAGAAAGUGUGGAAGGAGGGAAGAGGGAGAAGAUAAAACAGGAAAAGAACUAGAAUUCAAUGACUGACACAUAGCCACAUACAUGUUCAGCAAGAAACUCAACAUGAUAAAGGACCACAAAGCAAUAGAACUUAGAAGACAGAAGUAGCAAGAGCCAGGACCCAACAAAUGGAACUGGCCUGUAGCAGAUCAUCCAGUCAGUUCAGGGCUGCCCCUACAUCCUUGCUGAAGAAGACCCUCUGUAGGGUGGCACCUCCUGAUUUCUGCAUAGAUUUGGCCCUAGAGAGAUGUCCUUCUAUCCUGAGACCUGAUCCAAACAAUCUACAUUGAGCCUUAGACUCCACGGGAGAGGCAGAGCAAGGGACUCCCUGACCCACCUGCUGCAUCAUUCUGAGCCUGUAUCUGCUCAAUGCCCCAUCCUAGUUUGUUCCUUUACUGUAAUGAACACUGUAACCGAAUGCAAUUUGGGAGAAAAAGGCUUAUUUCAUCUUACAGUCCAUUAAGGGAAGCCAGGACAGGAAUUCAAGGCAGGUAUCUGGGGUAGUAACUGAAGCAGAGGCUGUAAAGGACUGCUGCUCACUGGCUUGUUCUCCGUGGCUUAGUUAGAAUGCUUCCUUCCUUCCUUCCUUCCUUCCUUCCUUCCUUCCUUCCUUCCUUCCUUCCUUCCUUCCUUCCUUCUUAUUUUCUUAAGAUUUUGUUUAUUUAUUUUAUGUGAGUACACUGUCGCUGUCUUCAGACACACCAGAAGAGGCCAUCAGAUUCCAUUGCAGGUGGUUGUGAGCCACCAUGUGAUUACUGGGAAUUGAACUCAGGACCUUUGGAACAGAAGUCAGUGCUUUUAACCACUGAGCCAUCUCUUCAGCCCCUAGAAUGCUUUCUUACACAACUCAGGACCACCUGCCCGAGGAGGGGGAGGCAUAGAGUGCCAAACCCUCACAUAUUGAGUCAUUAGUCAAAAAAAAAAAAAAAAAAAUGUCGGUCGGCCUUGCCCACAGGCUUUUCUGAAAGGCUCAGUUCCUCUGCAGAAGUUCCUUCUCAAUAGGUGACUCUACUUUGUACUAAGUUGACAGACUAACCACCCUAGCUGCUUUGUGGCAUCCACCCUCUUCAGGUACAGGAUCAUGGCAACCCUGCACAGGAGAUGGGGCAAGGCAGGCAGACAGACCUUUCAGUCAACACGAGGAAGCCCUUGCAAGAGCUUCCCAUAGACUGUGCCUCUGACUUCCAGUUGUAUGCUAGCGAGGUUUACCUCAGUGGGUUUGAGGCCUCGACAUCCUGGGAUUUGGGAAGGAUUAGUUUAUUGUAAUUAGUGGUUUAAAGAGAUAUGAGAUAGCAAGACGGGAUCAGGGGGUCACAUCUAGCCUCAGAGCUGCCUACCAGCCUGACCAUCAGCCAGUCUAGCUUGAACGGACACAUGAGGGGGAAAUAGGCAGGGUGUGGUGGUUGACAGGGGCUCUUCCUUAAGGCAGCUUGACUUGCAUCCAUGAUCCGUUCCCCAGUCAGCCAUGAGUCUCAAAAAUCCCCUGCUGGAGAGAGACUCAGAACAAGAGAAGGGAUAGAACACGCCCCCUCCCAGCAAAAGCAAACAAAACACAAGUUUCUUGGAAUGUAGCUCUCUCUGAAAGGCCUCCAGGGGCCCUUGGCCGGUCAGAGCUCCGUGCACAACUACUCAUACAAUCCUUUAGAAUAGGAUUCUGCUUCUCUGGGUUUGACCGCGUCACAAAUAUUUAUACAAGUACUAGAUGUGGUAAAGUUUAUUAUUCUAUUGCACUGAAUGUGAUCAGAUACCAUUAACCCCAAGUGGCUGGGGUUGCUGGUAAAGACAGAGUGCAGCUUUGAUGAUUGCUGGGGGUACUUCCUCACGGUAUGAGUCCCAGGUACACCAGGUUGGCGGGCCAUAUAGAGGACAGAUCGGUGCCCAAACCUCUUUAGUUAAGUCAAUCAGCCCAGCACCUCUCCUGGUGUCUAGGCCACCCCCAUCCCAGGAUGCUGCCUCAUCCAUGGCCACCAUCCAGGGUACAAACAAGGCUUUCAAGCAGGAGUCCGGCCAGCAGAACCCCCAUGCCCUAGGAAACCCAUUUCUAACUGGCAGAGAAGAAAGAGGGAGGGAGUGCCCACAGCCUAGGUCCUGUGAGAUUACACAGCAAUCCUUUGGCCUUUCCACCAUACUUGAUUGAUGAGCUUAUGUUCUACCAGAGAGUGGGGAGUGUGUGUGUGUGUGUGUGUGUGUGUGUGUGUGUGUGUGUGA
Long non-coding RNA from Mus musculus (house mouse), 3316 nucleotides. RefSeq annotates it as predicted gene, 57811. The transcript is spliced from 2 exons. The record is from RefSeq and is a predicted model, not a curated record. Lineage: Eukaryota; Metazoa; Chordata; Mammalia; Rodentia; Muridae.